Molecule: ribosomal RNA, 622 nt
Filed under: uncultured Vibrio sp.
Lineage: Bacteria; Pseudomonadati; Pseudomonadota; Gammaproteobacteria; Vibrionales; Vibrionaceae
Description: bacterial SSU rRNA
Rfam family: Bacterial small subunit ribosomal RNA
Source: RNAcentral
UCGCCCUUAACACAUGCAAGUCGAGCGGUAACAGAAAGAAGCUUGCUUCUUUGCUGACGAGCGGCGGACGGGUGAGUAAUGCCUGGGAAAUUGCCCUGAUGUGGGGGAUAACCAUUGGAAACGAUGGCUAAUACCGCAUGAUAGCUUCGGCUCAAAGAGGGGGACCUUCGGGCCUCUCGCGUCAGGAUAUGCCCAGGUGGGAUUAGCUAGUUGGUGAGGUAAGGGCUCACCAAGGCGACGAUCCCUAGCUGGUCUGAGAGGAUGAUCAGCCACACUGGAACUGAGACACGGUCCAGACUCCUACGGGAGGCAGCAGUGGGGAAUAUUGCACAAUGGGCGCAAGCCUGAUGCAGCCAUGCCGCGUGUAUGAAGAAGGCCUUCGGGUUGUAAAGUACUUUCAGCAGUGAGGAAGGGUGAUGUGUUAAUAGCACAUUACUUUGACGUUAGCUGCAGAAGAAGCACCGGCUAACUCCGUGCCAGCAGCCGCGGUAAUACGGAGGGUGCGAGCGUUAAUCGGAAUUACUGGGCGUAAAGCGCAUGCAGGUGGUUUGUUAAGUCAGAUGUGAAAGCCCCGGGCUCAACCCGGGAUGGUCAUUUGAAACUGGCAGGCUGGAGUACUGUA